This 610-nucleotide long non-coding RNA is filed under the name Homo sapiens (human). RNAcentral's name for it is "HSALNT0398627". The record is from RNAcentral. Lineage: Eukaryota; Metazoa; Chordata; Mammalia; Primates; Hominidae.
GCAAGACUCUUGUCUCCAAAAAAAAAAAAAAAAGGCAGAAAAGAUUUCCUGAAUUUUUAUUGCAGAAUUUACCAGGUACUUGUGCACAUUAAUAGGUGAUUUCUGUGGGCAGCUUCUCUAAUCCUGGUCCACAGAGAGCUGACAGAGCAUCCAGAUGUGGCCCCUGAACAAUCCCUGCUGCCCAACAGCACUGACACCACGGGGCCCUCACCCCGUCUCCACCCACGUCUGGGUGUGAGCCCUUCCCAGGAUCACGCCCAGUGCAGCCUCUUCCCAAGUUCAUGUCACUGGGUCACAAGAGAUGGAAUCUAAGCGAGAUGAGAGGGACUGAAGGAAGGCAUGGGUGAGUGUGAGCAAACCUGUCAGGCAGGAUGCUUCAGACUCAGAGAAGAUUCUCAACUCCAGCACCCGGCAUUUCAGGAAGAAAUAAGAAACAGAACAAUCUACUGAGAAUAUCACUUUACCUGAACGGAGUCUCACUCUGUCACCCAGGCUGGAGUGCCGUGGCCCGAUCUCAGCUCACUGCAAGCUCCGCCUCCCGGGUUCACACCAUUCUCCUGCCUCAGCCUCCUGAGUAGCUGGGACUACAGGUGCCCGCCAACACGCCCAG